RNAcentral lists this ribosomal RNA (253 nucleotides) under uncultured bacterium. Its description in RNAcentral is "partial 16S ribosomal RNA". It matches the Rfam family "Bacterial small subunit ribosomal RNA", at positions 524 to 776 of the family's 1533-position model. The record is from RNAcentral.
UACGGGGGGGGCAAGCGUUGUUCGGAAUUACUGGGCGUAAAGGGCUUGUAGGUGGCCAACUAAGUCAGACGUGAAAUCCCUCGGCUUAACCGGGGAACUGCGUCUGAUACUGGAUGGCUUGAGUGUGGGAGAGGGAUGCGGAAUUCCAGGUGUAGCGGUGAAAUGCGUAGAUAUCUGGAGGAACACCGGUGGCGAAGGCGGCAUCCUGGACCAUUACUGACACUGAAAAGCGAAAGCCAGGGGAGCAAACAGG